GCAGGAGAUAUCUUACACACACGCACAACAGCCCUCCCCCGGGGACCAGCCGGCUCCUGUGUGUGCUGUGCCGUCUGCUAUGUGCCUCCGGGCUCCUCUCUUGGAGCUGCCGAGAACCAAGGAGGCUGCUGGAGCCUGAAGCGCUUUCUGGAGGCAGGUGGCGCAUACAGGCCUAAAGGUCAUAGAGUGGCCCUCGAGUCCCUCAAGUCUCAUGUCUGUCUGCUCUGAGAAUAGGGAGGAGCCUUCAAAUGGGAGGUCCUGGAUGGACUCUUGGACCCUGUGGGGAAGGCCAGAGGAUUGGAGCCAGGAACUGCGCCUCAUGGUGACCACGGAGGCCGUUGUCCAGGCCGCCAAGUCAGCAACGUCCAGCACUGUCAAGAUCCUGGCCGACUUUUUACCCUCUUCUAAGAGCACGGUGAACUCCUGUCUCGACUCUUGGAGCAGGAAGUCUUUCAAUUUAUUCAGGGAGUCCCAGAGAAUAAAAUCACAUCUCCCCAGCAGAGCCUGCUGAUUGGCAACACACAGUUGGAGGCUACCCAUGGAAUAAACCUUUCUUCCAAAGAG
Caretta caretta (loggerhead turtle) is the source of this 564-nucleotide long non-coding RNA. RefSeq lists it as uncharacterized. The record is from RefSeq and is a predicted model, not a curated record. NCBI's taxonomy places the organism in Eukaryota, Metazoa, Chordata, Testudines, Cheloniidae.